Non-coding RNA from Megalops atlanticus (tarpon), 73 nucleotides. Lineage: Eukaryota; Metazoa; Chordata; Actinopteri; Elopiformes; Megalopidae. The record is from the annotation of a GenBank genome assembly.
GGCUGUGUAGCAUAGUGGUAAGGCGCAGGGCUUGUAACCAAAAGGUUGCUGGUUCGAGGCCCCGCCAGGGCAC